AUUGGAAUGAACAGUGUUAUAAGAACCAAUGGUGCUGAACUAAUUUGGGUUUAUUAUAAAAUAUUGUUUAUCAUUUAGUUCUGGCCAUUAACCUUACCUAUUAAUUGUUAUACAUUGUGUCCUACUUUUUAUUUUACUCUGACUGUCUAACACCAGAUGAUUUUAUAUGUUGGGAUAGAUCACUGGUGUUCAAUGGAUUUGAAUAAUAAUCUCAUAAUACACACUAGUUUGUUAACCUACUCUGUCUAAACAUGCUAACACCAUUGGCAAUGGAAUUGAGCAGUGAUGUAGCCAGGAUUUCUAAUCAAGGCCUUCAAGCGGGACUGAAAUCUCCAGGAGGGGCCUGCACUAGUUUGAAUAAAGUUUGUUAUUAUGUAAAAAUGUAUUUGGACCCCC
Molecule: non-coding RNA, 396 nt
Organism: Paramuricea clavata
Lineage: Eukaryota; Metazoa; Cnidaria; Anthozoa; Malacalcyonacea; Plexauridae
Source: the annotation of a GenBank genome assembly